This 251-nucleotide unclassified non-coding RNA is filed under the name uncultured Ascomycota. RNAcentral describes it as "sequence contains 5.8S rRNA gene". The record is from RNAcentral. Lineage: Eukaryota; Fungi; Ascomycota.
GAACGCACAUUGCGCCCAUUAGUAUUCUAGUGGGCAUGCCUGUUCGAGCGCCAUUUCAACCCUUAAGCUUAGCUUAGUAUUGGGAAUCUGCUUAACCGCAGCUCCUUAAAUCUAGUUGGCAGAGCACAGCUGUACUCUGAGCGUAGUAAUUCAUUAUCUCACUUCUGGAAGACAGCCGUACGAUCGCCACAAACCUAUUUAUUUUUUAAUGGUUGACCUCGGAUCAGGUAGGAAUACCCACUGAACUUAAG